GAUGAACGCUGGCGGCGUGCCUAAUACAUGCAAGUCGAACGCUGAAGGAGGAGCUUGCUCUUCUGGAUGAGUUGCGAACGGGUGAGUAACGCGUAGGUAACCUGCCUGGUAGCGGGGGAUAACUAUUGGAAACGAUAGCUAAUACCGCAUGACAACAGUUAUUGCAUGAUAACUGUUUAAAAGGGGCAACUGCUCCACUACCAGAUGGACCUGCGUUGUAUUAGCUAGUUGGUGAGGUAACGGCUCACCAAGGCGACGAUACAUAGCCGACCUGAGAGGGUGAUCGGCCACACUGGGACUGAGACACGGCCCAGACUCCUACGGGAGGCAGCAGUAGGGAAUCUUCGGCAAUGGACGGAAGUCUGACCGAGCAACGCCGCGUGAGUGAAGAAGGGUGUCGGAUCGUAAAGAUCUGUUGUAAGAGAAGAACGAGUGUGAGAGUGGAAAGUUCACACUGUGACGGUAUCUUACCAGAAAGGGACGGCUAACUACGUG
RNAcentral lists this ribosomal RNA (495 nucleotides) under uncultured bacterium. RNAcentral's name for it is "partial 16S ribosomal RNA". It matches the Rfam family "Bacterial small subunit ribosomal RNA", at positions 28 to 507 of the family's 1533-position model. The record is from RNAcentral.